RNAcentral lists this ribosomal RNA (224 nucleotides) under uncultured bacterium. Its description in RNAcentral is "partial 16S ribosomal RNA". It matches the Rfam family "Bacterial small subunit ribosomal RNA", at positions 524 to 745 of the family's 1533-position model. The record is from RNAcentral.
UACGGAGGGGGCUAGCGUUGUUCGGAAUUACUGGGCGUAAAGCGCACGUAGGCGGACUGUUAAGUCGGGGGUGAAAUCCUGGGGCUCAACCUCAGAAUUGCCUCCGAUACUGGCAGUCUCGAGUGCGGGAGAGGUGAGUGGAAUUCCCAGUGUAGAGGUGAAAUUCGUAGAUAUUCGCAAGAACACCAGUGGCGAAGGCGGACUCACUGGCCCGGUACGUGACC